ACGGUUAUGAUGGAAUGGUAGACAUAGGACACUUAAAAUGUCCAGGCGCAAGCCGUGUAGGUUCGAGUCCUACUAUCCGUA
Non-coding RNA from Lizanozyma spartinae, 81 nucleotides. The record is from the annotation of a RefSeq genome assembly. NCBI's taxonomy places the organism in Eukaryota, Fungi, Ascomycota, Pichiomycetes, Serinales, Debaryomycetaceae.